This 656-nucleotide ribosomal RNA is filed under the name uncultured bacterium. Its description in RNAcentral is "bacterial SSU rRNA". It matches the Rfam family "Bacterial small subunit ribosomal RNA", at positions 139 to 813 of the family's 1533-position model. The record is from RNAcentral.
GGGGACAACAGCCAGAAAUGGCUGCUAAUACCGCAUAAGCCUGCUGUGCCGCAUGGCACAGCAGGGAAAACCACGGUGGUACAGGAUGGGCCCGCGUCUGAUUAGUUAGUUGGCAGGGUAACGGCCUACCAAGACAACGAUCAGUAGCCGGCUUGAGAGAGUGGACGGCCACAUUGGGACUGAGACACGGCCCAGACUCCUGUGGGAGGCAGCAGUGGGGAAUAUUGCACAAUGGGGGGAACCCUGAUGCAGCAAUGCCGCGUGGGUGAAGAAGCACUCCGGUGCGUAAAGCCCUGUCAGCAGGGAAGAAAAUGACAGUACCUGGACAAGAAGCCCCGGCUAACUACGUGCCAGCAGCCGCGGUAAUACGUAGGGGGCAAGCGUUAUCCGGAUUUACUGGGUGUAAAGGGAGCGCAGGCGGCGUGGCAAGUCAGAUGUGAAAACCCGGGGCCCAACCCCGGGAGUGCAUUUGAAACUGCCAUGCUGGAGUGCCGGAGAGGUAAGCGGAAUUCCUAGUGUAGCGGUGAAAUGCGUAGAUAUUAGGAGGAACACCAGUGGCGGAGGCGGCUUACUGGACGGUAACUGACGCUGAGGCUCGAAAGCGUGGGGAGCAAACAGGAUUAGAUACCCUGGUAGUCCACGCCGUAAACGAUGAA